UGUCACUCCAGGACUCUCGUCAUCUCCGUUGCAUCUCCUUUCUUUGCAUCCAUUCCGGAGCUCUCCAGUCGAAGACAUGGACGGCUUGCUUGGGAAAUACCUCUUCGUGGUGGUUGCUGCCACACUGGCUGCACUGAUGCUGGCCCCAAACGAAGCUGAGGCGAUUCCGAGCUUUAUCACGGACGCUAUUUCAAAGGCCGUUGGACGAAAUGAAGAAAAAGUCGAGUAGCAAAGCAUCAGUCCUCGCGACACAAGAUGGCCGAUCUGCGUUCCGUUGAGGACAACUGAUUCGUAACUGAAUAAAAUGAAUUACGAAAAAAUGGCCUGAAAUGAAUGUACACCUGCACAUCAUUAAAGACCAACUUUCUUUUUUGUGCCGAAUGCCACUUUCUUUUUAAUUUCCGUACUUGUAAUCGCUCUUAAGCGCUGCUAUGCAUACAUAUCUUAUUUUGUGCCUUCAUCGCAUUUAAAAUGAGACUUUCUUUAUUAAAAUAUUUCGUGUUCUGGUUUUAA
This is a non-coding RNA of Dermacentor andersoni, 513 nucleotides long. Lineage: Eukaryota; Metazoa; Arthropoda; Arachnida; Ixodida; Ixodidae. The record is from RefSeq and is a predicted model, not a curated record.